GACGAACGCUGGCGGCGUGCCUAAUACAUGCAAGUUGAGCGCUGAAGGUUGGUACUUGUACCAACUGGAUGAGCAGCGAACGGGUGAGUAACGCGUGGGGAAUCUGCCUUUGAGCGGGGGACAACAUUUGGAAACGAAUGCUAAUACCGCAUAAAAACUUUAAACACAAGUUUUAAGUUUGAAAGAUGCAAUUGCAUCACUCAAAGAUGAUCCCGCGUUGUAUUAGCUAGUUGGUGAGGUAAAGGCUCACCAAGGCGAUGAUACAUAGCCGACCUGAGAGGGUGAUCGGCCACAUUGGGAAUGAGAAACGGCCCAAACUCCUACGGGGGGCAGCAGGAGGGAAUCUUCGGCAAUGGACGAAAGUCUGACCGAGCAACGCCGCGGGAGUGAAGAAGGUUCUCGGAUCGUAAAACUCUGUUGGUAGAGAAGAACGUUGGUGAGAGUGGAAAGCUCAUAAAGUGACGGUAACUACACAGAAAGGGACGGCUAACUACGUG
This 497-nucleotide ribosomal RNA is filed under the name uncultured bacterium. Its description in RNAcentral is "partial 16S ribosomal RNA". It matches the Rfam family "Bacterial small subunit ribosomal RNA", at positions 28 to 507 of the family's 1533-position model. The record is from RNAcentral.